RNAcentral lists this long non-coding RNA (2902 nucleotides) under Cricetulus griseus (Chinese hamster). RNAcentral describes it as "lncRNA (ENSCGRG00015035536.1)". The record is from RNAcentral. Lineage: Eukaryota; Metazoa; Chordata; Mammalia; Rodentia; Cricetidae.
GCCACGCCUUCCUGUCAUGAGACACUUUAUCUCUAUGGAACUAUAAUCCAAAAUAAACUUUUUAUUCUCAAGCUGCUUUUGAUUAUGGCAGUUUAUUACAUCAACAGAAAAGUAACUAGUAGAGAAAGUACCUAGUUGAAGGUGUGUGGCAACAGUUCAAUAUGAUGAGUACCAAAAAGACAGAAGUUAGUUCUAUGAUCAACAUAGAGAAUAUCUAGGAAGGCUGUCUGCACUAGCCAAGGUUUGAACACAUCCUGAAGGACUAAGCAGUUUGAAGACAAACUGACAGAAACACCUAAGAAAGUGAAACAAUUCUAAUGUAACUGAACAGUGAGAUCCACUGAAAGACAAGGUGGGAAAGGGCCCUAACGUGAUGGCGGAAUUCAGGUGGCUGGUGGAAAGAUUUAUCAUUACAACCAUAGGUAUAAAAGAAGAAAUCAAGGGACUUCCAGGUAUUGACAAAGUAGAAGCUGCCUCCAUGUGAUCCAAUUAAGAAGAGUCAGCAUAAGAUGGAGAACUGUAUUUCAAAGACAGAAAAGAAACAGACUUCAGGAAUUUCCAAAUCCAAUGAUAUAACAGCAGAAAAGUACAGAGAAAAAGGACAAGUGCCACACCAGAAAGAAACAAAGCUGAACACAGCCCCAGCUGUGUGGUUCCGUAGCAAGAAGGAGGAAGAAUCAGAAGCCCUGUCUUUUUACAGGGUACAUAAGACAACCCGUGAAAAGAGACAUACAGCCCUACAAGCAGGUCAAGCUCACAGCCCUCUAGGCUUCAAAUGCAGUUGUGGAUUUUGAUGAGCCAAUAACUCCUCUGACAGAUUAAUCAGCAGUGGAGAUCAUAUGAUAUCAAGAACAGUGACCAGGCACUAUCUUGAGGGGAAUUCUAUUAUUCAAAACCGAGAUACCCUGAAAACCUCAUUAAUACAGAAAAAAGACAAGUCAGGGAGCUUGAUUUUAACCUGCCACAGACCCAAGGUAAAUGACAGUCCUGGAAGAAGUUGCAGAGAGCCGACCAUCUGAAAAGUUCAGGCAGUGGGACUCUGUUUAAGCAGUGCAUAACAGCAUCCCCACUAGCCAGUGGUCAGUUUUAUCAACUGAGAACAAUCCAGAAGUUUGAUAGGGCCUAGCCUCAGGCCAGCAGUUGACCACUAAUCACUGUGAAGGGUACAUCUUAGGAGACUCAGGAGGGCAAGAAAGCCUGACAAACUCACAGACUGCAAAGUGAAGUGUGGCCAGUAGAGGCCCCUGGUACACAAUGAAGGGCAGCUCCUAAAGAGAAGAAAGCUCUGGCAGACAAGGCACACUUGUCCAAUACAGGCUCACCACCAGUAUAAAUCAAAAGAGUUCACGAGUUCAACUGAUCCCUCCAUAUGUAUAGGUGCCAAUCUUCAAGUUUUGAAGACUGAGAAGACAGCUAGUCCAACAGGUUUUUUUUUUUCAUUUCUCUGGCUCCUCGUUGUGCAACCCCUUUUCUUCUUACUAAGCUCUUAGCAGUACUUUGACUUUAUAACAUAUAAAAUGAUUAUCUAUUCAUCUUCAUGUAGUUAUUUAAUUUUCAUGUUGGCAACAUUUUCCUUUCUUUCAUUAUUUAUUGUUCCAAGUUGCCACUUUUCCCUCUCUACUAUACAUUCAGUCAAAUUUUUGUUAUCUGAAGGUUUGUUCCUUUGUUUGUCUUGUUGUUUUAGAAAAUGUCUCACUGUGUACUCUGACUGGUCUGGAAUUUGUCUAUGCAGAACAGAUUAGACUCCAACCCACAGAAAUUUGCCUGAUUCUGCCUCCCAGGUGAUGGGAUUAAAGUCACAUAUCUCCACACCUGACUUAAUUUGUUUUUCUUAUUAAAGGAUUCAUAUAUUUUUAGUUUUUCACUCCCCUUCUCAUGGAUAACUAAUUUUGCUUUGAACAUUUUUAUUGCUGGAAAAAUAUCCUCCCUAAUCUCAUGUGUACCAGGCUUUCUUUUGGGCCACCAAUCAGGUCCCACAUCAUGACAUAGACUUAUUAGUUAUGAAUGCUCAGCCUGAUCUUAUGCUCAUUUCUUGCUAGCUCUUGCAACUUAAUCUGUUUCUCUUUAUCUAUGUUUUGCCUUGGGGAUUUUACCUUUUCUUUCUGUAUGUCCUAUUCCAUCUAGCUGGCUGGUGUCUGGCUGGCUGGCUGGUCCCAGGCAUCUCCCUCUCUUUCUCCUUCAUUUUUCUCCUCUCUUCUCCUCUCCUCUUCUCCUCUCCUCUGCCCCUCUACACUUCUCUUCUCUUCUAGAUUUCUUAUUUAUUCCUUCUGCCCACCAGCUUGGCCUAGCCCUCUUCUGUUCUAGCUAUUGGUCCUUUAGCUCUUUAUUAGAUCAAUCAGGUAGUUGCUGUAGGUAGGAAAGUUGAAAGAAAUGCAACCCAUCUUUAUGUAAUUAAACAAAAGCAGAACAAACAAAUGUGAAGAUUAAAUUAGCAGAUGCUUAGCAGAAUUCUAAAAGAAGAGUGAAUGUGCAAUCACAAGGCUCUACCCACAUUCAUUGCUUCUACUUCUACUAACUACUACUGUUGCUUUUGAAAAUGCUGCUUCUGUUAUUGCUACAGAACUGAGAUGACUUUGAACAAAUCUAACAGCAAGUCAUUCAAUGAUUCAGUAUAGACUAAAAGUCUACUUUAAAAUGAAAAUCAUUUGGUGAGAUGUAAGGAUAUUUGGCAAUAUUAAUGUUCCAACAAUUUCAGACCUGUACCUGAUGAGCCUGAUUCACUCCUCUAGGAUAUAUCAACAUACAAAGGGGAAAAAUUCUCCAUCAGAGAAUGUAGGAGACUCAUGGAAGUAACAGAUGUUUGAGAACCAGUUGAAUGAUUUCUCAAUCCUAUGUGAGCCUUCAGAGGACUUUCUAUUUGGGGGAAUUUCCCAUGACCCAGCUUCAGCUGUGAAAGCCAGAG